This 253-nucleotide ribosomal RNA is filed under the name uncultured bacterium. Its description in RNAcentral is "partial 16S ribosomal RNA". It matches the Rfam family "Bacterial small subunit ribosomal RNA", at positions 524 to 776 of the family's 1533-position model. The record is from RNAcentral.
UACGGAGGGAGCAAGCGUUACUCGGAAUUAUUGGGCGUAAAGGGCGCGUAGGCGAUUCGAAAAGUCAACUGUGAAAUCUCCGGGCUUAACCCGGAAGGGUCGUUCGAUACUGUUGAGCUAGAGUGUGGAAGAGGCAACUAGAAUUCCGUGUGUAGCGGUGAAAUGCGUAGAUAUACGGAGGAAUACCUGAGGCGAAGGCGGGUUGCUGGGCCAACACUGACGCUGAGGCGCGAAAGCCAGGGGAGCAAACGGG